This is a long non-coding RNA of Macaca mulatta (Rhesus monkey), 1855 nucleotides long. NCBI's taxonomy places the organism in Eukaryota, Metazoa, Chordata, Mammalia, Primates, Cercopithecidae. The record is from Ensembl.
GAAGCAUCCCUGGCUCCAGGCCCCACUCCAAGUCUGGGUGCCCCGCCCCAGUCCUCUCCUCCCAUCCCGGGGCCUCCCCAGCUCUGAUGGGGGCGGGGCUGAGGGAGCCAGGAAGGAGGAGACCAGAUUCCUUCCCGUCCCGCUGGGGCCUGAAGCUUCAGCUCUGGUUUGACCAGGCUCUGGCAGCCUAAAUCUCUCCAUCCCUAGGGCAGGGCGUUGAGCCAGUUCACGGGUCAGCCCCCAUCUGCUGCUGCCUCCCUCUUUUCCCCCCUGCUGCCUCCACAAUCCCAGAGGAGGGGUGAGGACAUCAAGAGGCUGGGACCAGCAGGGAAGACCCCCACGGAGGGGUGGGGCUGGCCAAAGGUGCCCUUGGGGAAGCAAACAACCCUGCCUACCUCCCCCUCCAGGCAGCCCCAGCCAAUCGAUCCUGUGAUUGCCCAAUGGGUAUUGACCGAGGGCCUGAGGGUCAGGGUCGCUGGUGCAGAAGAGACUGGGCAGAGGGAGGCCUGCCCCAUCGUCCACACCCUCCCUCACCUAACCCAAAAGGAGUAACCGAUGCCACCAGAGGCUGGAACUGGUGCUGCACGCGGGAUGAGGGCGCCACCGUGUGUCCAGCUUGGAGCAGUGUGGUCGCAGGCUUGAGCCCAGUGUCUGCCCUGCUGACAGCCACUUACAGAGCGCCUGCCGUCCACCAGUCACUCCACACACAUCAGUCCUCUUUUUCAUGGCCGCAAUAUAAAGAGGGGAUUACUAUCCAGAUUUUCAGGUGAGGAGACUGAGGCUCAGACCUUGCCAAUGUCACCCAGCCCUCAGCUGCCGCCCACUCCAAAGUCACACCCACGCCAUGCUGUGGACAAAACCCAGACCUGUGCAUGGGUCUGGGUGCGAGCAUUCAGACUUCUCAGGGUGUCCUGUUUCCUCUUCUGUAAAGGGGGGAAGGUGCCAACGACUGCCCCUGCCAGGUGGCGCCUUCCCCGUCUCUGGCCCUGAGAGAAACCUGCAGACCCCUGAGGCCCGUGGGUCUUGGGGGAAUGAAUUUUUGGGAAACACAAUUCUGGGUACUUUCCAAACAUUAGUCUUUUUGAAUAUUUUGGUGUUCAUUGUUUUUCUCUAAACAUUUGCAUAUGUGUGAACUAUUUGGUGAUUUAAAAACCAUACUUACUGGGUUAAAACUUUAUGUAGGGCUGAGUGCGGUGGCUCAUGCCUGUAAUCUCAGCCCUUUGGGAUGCCGCGGUGGGUGGAUCAUUUGAGGUCAGGAGUUUGAGACCAGCCUGGCCAACAUGGUGAAACCCUGUCUCUACUGAAAAUACAAAAAUUAGCCGGCUGUGGUGGUGGGUGCCUGUAAUUCCAGCUACUUGGGAGGCUGAGGCAGGAGAAUCACUUGAACUGGGGAAGUGGAAGUUGCAGUGAGCUGAGACUGUGCCACUGCACUUGAGCCUGGGCGAUGGAACGAGACUCUGUCUCAAAAAGCAACAUAAAACAAAACGAAACCAACUUUAUGUAGGCCUCCAGUUCGCCUCUAAAAGACGACAGCUGGCUGGGCGCAGUGGCUCACACCUGUAAUCCCAGCACUUUGGGGAAACCAAGGCAGGAGGUUCAUUUGAGACAAGGGCUUUGAGACUAGUCUGGGCAACAUAGUGAGACCCUGUCUCUAUUAAGAAAAAAAAAAAAAGGCCCGGCACCGUGGCUCACGCCUGUAAUCCCAGCACUUUGGGAAGGCCGAGGCGGGCGGAUCACGAGGUCAGGAGAUCAAGACCAUCCUGGCUAACACAGUGAAACCCCGUCUGUAGUAAAAAUACCAAAAGAAAUUAGCCGGGCGUGGUGGCAGGCACCUGUAGUCCCAGCUACUGGGGAG